GGGAUGACACAGUAGGAUAAGCUAAGCACACUGUUGGUUAUGUGUGCCCAAGCAUUGAGGCAGUCAAAGUAGGCAAAUCCGCUUUGAUAAUGCUGGGAUGUGAUGGGGAGCGAAAUGUAGUAGCGAAGUAGCUGAUUUCACACUGUCAAGAAAAGUCUCUAUCGAGGUUAAAGGUACCCGUACCGCAAACCGACACAGGUGGGUGAGGAGAGUAUCCUAAGGCCAGCGAGAGAACUGUUGUUAAGGAACUCGGCAAAAUGACCCCGUAACUUAGGGAUAAGGGGUGCCACCAUCA
RNAcentral lists this ribosomal RNA (295 nucleotides) under Clostridioides difficile. RNAcentral describes it as "partial 23S ribosomal RNA". It matches the Rfam family "Bacterial large subunit ribosomal RNA", at positions 1466 to 1759 of the family's 2925-position model. The record is from RNAcentral. Lineage: Bacteria; Bacillati; Bacillota; Clostridia; Peptostreptococcales; Peptostreptococcaceae.